This 251-nucleotide ribosomal RNA is filed under the name uncultured prokaryote. RNAcentral describes it as "partial 16S rRNA". It matches the Rfam family "Bacterial small subunit ribosomal RNA", at positions 525 to 775 of the family's 1533-position model. The record is from RNAcentral.
ACGGAGGGUGCAAGCGUUAUUCGGAAUUACUGGGCGAAAAGCGCGUGAAGGCGGGGAGGCCAGUCUGAUGUGAAAGCCCUGGGCUUAACAUGGGAAGGGAAUUGGAAACUGCCUAUCUUGAGUGCUGGAGAGGAAGGGGGAAUUCCCGGUGUAGAGGUGAAAUUCGUAGAGAUCGGGAGGAAUACCAGUGGCGAAGGCGCCCUUCUGGACGGCAACUGACGCUGAGACGCUAAAGCGUGGGGAGCAAACAG